Molecule: ribosomal RNA, 829 nt
Filed under: uncultured bacterium
Lineage: Bacteria
Description: bacterial SSU rRNA
Rfam family: Bacterial small subunit ribosomal RNA
Source: RNAcentral
GACGGAACUUAAGGGCUUGCUCUUAAGUUUAGUGGCGAACGGGUGAGUAAUAUAUCGGAACGUAUCCAAUAAUGGGGGAUAACUAAUCGAAAGGUUGGCUAAUACCGCAUACGCCCUACGGGGGAAAGCAGGGGAUCUUCGGACCUUGCGUUAAUGGAGCGGCCGAUAUCUGAUUAGCUAGUUGGUGAGGUAAAGGCUCACCAAGGCGACGAUCAGUAGCUGGUCUGAGAGGACGACCAGCCACACUGGAACUGAGACACGGUCCAGACUCCUACGGGAGGCAGCAGUGGGGAAUUUUGGACAAUGGGCGAAAGCCUGAUCCAGCCAUUCCGCGUGAGUGAAGAAGGCCUUCGGGUUGUAAAGCUCUUUCGCAAGGGAAGAAAGCUUAUAUUCUAAUAAAGUAUGAGGAUGACGGUACCUUGAUAAGAAGCACCGGCUAACUACGUGCCAGCAGCCGCGGUAAUACGUAGGGUGCGAGCGUUAAUCGGAAUUACUGGGCGUAAAGCGUGCGCAGGCGGUUUUGAAAGUCAGAUGUGAAAUCCCCGAGCUCAACUUGGGAACUGCGUUUGAAACUCCAAAGCUAGAGUAUAGGAGAGGGGGGUAGAAUUCCACGUGUAGCAGUGAAAUGCGUAGAGAUGUGGAGGAAUACCAAUGGCGAAGGCAGCCCCCCUGGCCUAAUACUGACGCUCAUGCACGAAAGCGUGGGGAGCAAACAGGAUUAGAUACCCUGGUAGUCCACGCCCUAAACGAUGUCUACUAGUUGUUGGUGGAGUAAAAUCCAUUAGUAACGCAGCUAACGCGUGAAGUAGACCGCCUGGGGAGUACGGUC